GUCACUGCAAAGGAAGGUACCUGCAAUAUGAUGAAUCUCACUGCAGUAGCUGAGACAUACCUCAACAGUACCGUGGAAGGUGGCUGGAAAAGCUGGGGUCUAGAUGAAUCUUACGCCUAUUGGACCGGCCGUCACCUAACCAUUCCUGAGCGGCCAAUAAAAGGAAAAGUAGAUGGAUUUCAGCAAAACGAAACAUGCAAUCAGUCCCUCAGUGCCGGAAACAGGGUCUGUGAAGAAAGAUUCAUGUGGACCUUUACUAAUGGCAUAUGGAGUCCAUUUGAACUCUUAGUCAACGUCACAAUUAAACCGUUGGAAGGAAUGCCGGUCACUUUCGAGCUUGAUCUCAACAAUGCGAACUGGAUUCUGAAACCGCAACGACUGGGUUUGAAUGCUAUGAAAGUAGCGACAACUAA
Dermacentor albipictus is the source of this 413-nucleotide long non-coding RNA. RefSeq lists it as uncharacterized. Lineage: Eukaryota; Metazoa; Arthropoda; Arachnida; Ixodida; Ixodidae. The record is from RefSeq and is a predicted model, not a curated record.